AAGGUGAACGUAGAUGGAGCACGGUGGGUGGUCACGGAAUAUUUUGACGAACACAACCACGAACUCAUAAAGAAAUUCGACCUGGUAAAAUUUCUGACCGCCCACAGAGGAUUCACCCCCCUCGAGAAGAAAUUCAUAAAGCUGCUACAUGAUUGUAACGUCGGUCCAUCAAGAAUGGUACAGAUACUAUCCCUCAUCCACAGCAAAAAUGGGACUCUGAGUAGCAUGUCCUACAUACCAGUUGAUGUCACAAACCUAAAAGCAAAGUACCGUAGAGAGAGCAAGUUGGCUGACAUAGAAGCCACGAUGGCCUACUUCGAUGAGAAAGCAAAGGAAGAUCCAGAUUUCUUCUACAGGAUAAAAUUGGACGAUGAGGACCGUGUCAGGAACAUGUAUUGGGUGGAUGGUGCUGCAAGAAAAGCCUACAAACAUUUCCGAGAUUGCAUUUCAUUCGACGCAACGUAUCUCACUAAUAUGUACAAGAUGCCAUGUGCUCAAUUCAUAGGAAUAAAUAACCACAACAUUGAUGGGUACACUUGGCUAUUCAAGACCUUCUUGGAGUGCAUGGAUGGACUUGCUCCAAUGAACAUAGUAACAGACCAGGAUUUUAGCAUGCAUGCAGGCAUAUAAGAGGUCUUUCUGUUGGCAGUGCACAGGCACUGCAGGUGGCACAUUAUAAAGAAGGCUGAGGAGACGCUAUGACCGUUCUUUGCUACUACGCAGCGCAGCGAGGGGUUCAAUGCUGUUUUGAAGCUACAGGAUGGCAUUGUGUGCUGCCACAUACUAAAGGUAAUGAACAUGAACGCGGUGAUACGAAUGCCCCGCCAUUUCAUAAGGUGGCGAUGGACUUGGGACGCUGACGACGUAUUGGCACCGCAAACAUCAAACGCAGUUUUACUGUGCAUGACGAGAGACUGGAGUCAACCAUGGAAGCCGUGA
RNAcentral lists this ribosomal RNA (939 nucleotides) under Triticum aestivum (bread wheat). RNAcentral's name for it is "partial small subunit ribosomal RNA". Lineage: Eukaryota; Viridiplantae; Streptophyta; Magnoliopsida; Poales; Poaceae. The record is from RNAcentral.